RNAcentral lists this transfer RNA (63 nucleotides) under Chaetosoma scaritides. RNAcentral describes it as "tRNA-Trp". Lineage: Eukaryota; Metazoa; Arthropoda; Insecta; Coleoptera; Chaetosomatidae. The record is from RNAcentral.
AAGGAUUUAAGUUAAACAAACUAGUAACCUUCAAAGUUAAAAUUAGAGGCUCUCUAAGCCUUA